This 1919-nucleotide long non-coding RNA is filed under the name Nicotiana benthamiana. Its description in RNAcentral is "long non-coding RNA (NBEN_LNC014003)". Lineage: Eukaryota; Viridiplantae; Streptophyta; Magnoliopsida; Solanales; Solanaceae. The record is from RNAcentral.
UGUGAGAAACUCCUUUGAGUGGAUUUUUUUUUUUGAUAAUGGAUAACUCCUUUGAGUGAGUUUUAAAUUCUCUGUUUGUGAUAUGUUUGAGCACCCUGGCUGUUCCAUUUUAGUUUGUUCGGUCUGUCUAGUUUUGUGGUGGGUGAGACAGAGAUAUUAAUGCCAUGUUAAAUGAGAUAUCUGGUGAUAUUGUUGAUUAUGAGAAACCUAGUGGGAUAUACAUGUUUUUCAAGUUGAGAAAACAUAUAACUUUGACAGAAAACUCUACCCGCAGACAAAAGCAUGGUUAAGUAGGAAGGAUAGAGGGUGGGCCCAUUACCGAGUUUUGAAUCGUGUGCGACUAGCCCUCUGCACGCCUGCUUUUAGCUCGUAGUUUCACUCUUGCUUUUGCCUUACCUUCUAUUAUAUUAGUAAAGGGCGAAUGGGGGGCGUGUGCAAUAGUUUUCUUACUUUCUCUCGAUCGCUUCAAUGCCUAUAAUUUGAGAGAUAAGAGGAAAGCCCUCUCUCGAAUUCGAAGAUGUAACACAAAUAAUGACUCUCUUGCAAUAGUUUUCUUACUUUCUCUCGAUCGCUUCAAUGCCUAUAAUUUGAGAAAAUUUCUCAAUCAUCAACAUGAGUAUGGUAUUAAUGUGUAUAAUGUUUUUACACUUUGUGGGUUUUGUCAGCUCCUUAAGUUUUAGAAAGGAUAGAGUGAAGUGCACAUGACAUAUAUAAGUUUUAUACUCAUUUGCAUUCUCGGAUGAUUAUUAAAUGAAAUUCUUAUUUACCUGAUUAAAUAAAUUCUUGGUUAUAAAAAAGAAAAACAAAAAUACAUCUUACUUUGACGGCUUUGGAUGCUCUGUGCUACUCCUUAUAAGAUUUUGGUCAUACAUCUUGCCUUGUUAUUCUCUCGUAAAAGUAGAGUCCACCGCAGUGGUCUUAGAAAGAGCAUAUUCAUUUUACCAUUUUGGUUCUGUAAAUCAUGUAGUGUUUCUUGAGCUGUCUUCAUGAGUAAACAUAUAUGUUUUUAUUGGUAAUCAGGCUGCAUGCACAAGCGCUGACUCUUGCUGCAUUAGCGGGCGCUGCAGUCGUUGAGUAUUACGACCAUAAAUCAGGGGCAAAAGCAGAAUGUGUUGCCAAGUUCCUCCAACCGCCAGCCCCUCAUCCGCACAAGGAGUGAAUCUGACUUCAGAUGAUGAAUAAAAAGAAACCUGAUUAGGCACAGCUUUAUCUGUUGGGUCAUGCCCCUUAACUUCACAUGGAAGAGUUUUUGGUAAUCAAAUUUCCAGUACUAGAGAGGCUAGAUGAGGCACCUUUCUCUAUUAAUUUUGAUUUUUGUGGGUUAUAGUCGCGAGAUGAAGAAUCAUGAAAAGUGCCCUUCUUAGUAUUUUCUAUCUUUACGAUAAAAUAUCCACAGAUUAAAAAUGUCGAGGGGUAUAUCUUUGUAUCGAGCAUGAAUUGCUAUGUCUGAUAGCCUAUAUGAUUAUUGCGAAUUAAGUUCUUUCUCAUAAUAUAGUUGAAAAUGGUAGUAAUCCUAGUAGAACUUCCUUCGUAUUAAUUGACGAGAUAUAAAUUUUUUUUGUUGGUAUAUGAAGAAAUUUGUCAAGUGGUCCUUCUAUAGAACGACGUUUUAUCACAAGACAUCCAAAAUAGUUGACAAAACUAUAUAAAACAGAAGUUAAAAUGUAAUUAAUCUCAUCAAAAUUUCGUUAGACAACGAGUUCAAUUGACUUUUUUUAUUUAACUAUUUCUAUAAGCUUUACGACAAGGUGGAUAAAGCAUCACGAUAUUAACUGAUAAUGUUGUUUUAACUAGCUCAAAGUUCAGAAGAGUGAGAUUCUUGAUUUCUUUCAUGUCUAUAAUCUUCAAACUUGAGCAUCUUAAUUUCAUCUUUAAUUGAAGAAAGACAAUUAUAUAUUUUCUAAUGUUGGCGAUUCUCU